RNAcentral lists this transfer RNA (59 nucleotides) under Bos taurus (domestic cattle). The record is from Rfam by way of RNAcentral. Lineage: Eukaryota; Metazoa; Chordata; Mammalia; Artiodactyla; Bovidae. RNAcentral also lists the same sequence under 5 other names.
GACUCUGAUGGUAAAGAAUCUGCCUGUAAUGCAGCAGACCUGGGUUCAAUCCCAGGUCG